RNAcentral lists this ribosomal RNA (2922 nucleotides) under Escherichia coli. RNAcentral describes it as "23S ribosomal RNA". It matches the Rfam family "Bacterial large subunit ribosomal RNA". The record is from RNAcentral. Lineage: Bacteria; Pseudomonadati; Pseudomonadota; Gammaproteobacteria; Enterobacterales; Enterobacteriaceae.
GGGUUGUGAGGUUAAGCGACUAAGCGUACACGGUGGAUGCCCUGGCAGUCAGAGGCGAUGAAGGACGUGCUAAUCUGCGAUAAGCGUCGGUAAGGUGAUAUGAACCGUUAUAACCGGCGAUUUCCGAAUGGGGAAACCCAGUGUGUUUCGACACACUAUCAUUAACUGAAUCCAUAGGUUAAUGAGGCGAACCGGGGGAACUGAAACAUCUAAGUACCCCGAGGAAAAGAAAUCAACCGAGAUUCCCCCAGUAGCGGCGAGCGAACGGGGAGGAGCCCAGAGCCUGAAUCAGUGUGUGUGUUAGUGGAAGCGUCUGGAAAGGCGCGCGAUACAGGGUGACAGCCCCGUACACAAAAAUGCACAUACUGUGAGCUCGAUGAGUAGGGCGGGACACGUGGUAUCCUGUCUGAAUAUGGGGGACCAUCCUCCAAGGCUAAAUACUCCUGACUGACCGAUAGUGAACCAGUACCGUGAGGGAAAGGCGAAAAGAACCCCGGCGAGGGGAGUGAAAAAGAACCUGAAACCGUGUACGUACAAGCAGUGGGAGCCUCUUUAUGGGGUGACUGCGUACCUUUUGUAUAAUGGGUCAGCGACUUAUAUUCUGUAGCAAGGUUAACCGAAUAGGGGAGCCGAAGGGAAACCGAGUCUUAACUGGGCGUUAAGUUGCAGGGUAUAGACCCGAAACCCGGUGAUCUAGCCAUGGGCAGGUUGAAGGUUGGGUAACACUAACUGGAGGACCGAACCGACUAAUGUUGAAAAAUUAGCGGAUGACUUGUGGCUGGGGGUGAAAGGCCAAUCAAACCGGGAGAUAGCUGGUUCUCCCCGAAAGCUAUUUAGGUAGCGCCUCGUGAAUUCAUCUCCGGGGGUAGAGCACUGUUUCGGCAAGGGGGUCAUCCCGACUUACCAACCCGAUGCAAACUGCGAAUACCGGAGAAUGUUAUCACGGGAGACACACGGCGGGUGCUAACGUCCGUCGUGAAGAGGGAAACAACCCAGACCGCCAGCUAAGGUCCCAAAGUCAUGGUUAAGUGGGAAACGAUGUGGGAAGGCCCAGACAGCCGAUGUUGGCUUAGAAGCAGCCAUCAUUUAAAGAAAGCGUAAUAGCUCACUGGUCGAGUCGGCCUGCGCGGAAGAUGUAACGGGGCUAAACCAUGCACCGAAGCUGCGGCAGCGACGCUUAUGCGUUGUUGGGUAGGGGAGCGUUCUGUAAGCCUGCGAAGGUGUGCUGUGAGGCAUGCUGGAGGUAUCAGAAGUGCGAAUGCUGACAUAAGUAACGAUAAAGCGGGUGAAAAGCCCGCUCGCCGGAAGACCAAGGGUUCCUGUCCAACGUUAAUCGGGGCAGGGUGAGUCGACCCCUAAGGCGAGGCCGAAAGGCGUAGUCGAUGGGAAACAGGUUAAUAUUCCUGUACUUGGUGUUACUGCGAAGGGGGGACGGAGAAGGCUAUGUUGGCCGGGCGACGGUUGUCCCGGUUUAAGCGUGUAGGCUGGUUUUCCGUGCAAAUCCGGAAAAUCAAGGCUGAGGCGUGAUGACGAGGCACUACGGUGCUGAAGCAACAAAUGCCCUGCUUCCGGAAAAGCCUCUAAGCAUCAGGUAACAUCAAAUCGUACCCCAAACCGACACAGGUGGUCAGGUAGAGAAUACCAAGGCGCUUGAGAGAACUCGGGUGAAGGAACUAGGCAAAAUGGUGCCGUAACUUCGGGAGAAGGCACGCUGAUAUGUAGGUGAAGCGACUUGCUCGUGGAGCUGAAAUCAGUCGAAGAUACCAGCUGGCUGCAACUGUUUAUUAAAAACACAGCACUGUGCAAACACGAAAGUGGACGUAUACGGUGUGACGCCUGCCCGGUGCCGGAAGGUUAAUUGAUGGGGUUAGCGGUAACGCGAAGCUCUUGAUCGAAGCCCCGGUAAACGGCGGCCGUAACUAUAACGGUCCUAAGGUAGCGAAAUUCCUUGUCGGGUAAGUUCCGACCUGCACGAAUGGCGUAAUGAUGGCCAGGCUGUCUCCACCCGAGACUCAGUGAAAUUGAACUCGCUGUGAAGAUGCAGUGUACCCGCGGCAAGACGGAAAGACCCCGUGAACCUUUACUAUAGCUUGACACUGAACAUUGAGCCUUGAUGUGUAGGAUAGGUGGGAGGCUUUGAAGUGUGGACGCCAGUCUGCAUGGAGCCGGCCUUGAAAUACCACCCUUUAAUGUUUGAUGUUCUAACGUUGGCCCCUGAUCGGGGUUGCGGACAGUGUCUGGUGGGUAGUUUGACUGGGGCGGUCUCCUCCUAAAGAGUAACGGAGGAGCACGAAGGUUGGCUAAUCCUGGUCGGACAUCAGGAGGUUAGUGCAAUGGCAUAAGCCAGCUUGACUGCGAGCGUGACGGCGCGAGCAGGUGCGAAAGCAGGUCAUAGUGAUCCGGUGGUUCUGAAUGGAAGGGCCAUCGCUCAACGGAUAAAAGGUACUCCGGGGAUAACAGGCUGAUACCGCCCAAGAGUUCAUAUCGACGGCGGUGUUUGGCACCUCGAUGUCGGCUCAUCACAUCCUGGGGCUGAAGUAGGUCCCAAGGGUAUGGCUGUUCGCCAUUUAAAGUGGUACGCGAGCUGGGUUUAGAACGUCGUGAGACAGUUCGGUCCCUAUCUGCCGUGGGCGCUGGAGAACUGAGGGGGGCUGCUCCUAGUACGAGAGGACCGGAGUGGACGCAUCACUGGUGUUCGGGUUGUCAUGCCAAUGGCACUGCCCGGUAGCUAAAUGCGGAAGAGAUAAGUGCUGAAAGCAUCUAAGCACGAAACUUGCCCCGAGAUGAGUUCUCCCUGAGACUUUAAGUCUCCUGAAGGAACGUUGAAGACGACGACGUUGAUAGGCCGGGUGUGUAAGCGCAGCGAUGCGUUGAGCUAACCGGUACUAAUGAACCGUGAGGCUUAACCUUACAACGCCGAAG